Long non-coding RNA from Peromyscus californicus insignis, 1812 nucleotides. RefSeq lists it as uncharacterized. Lineage: Eukaryota; Metazoa; Chordata; Mammalia; Rodentia; Cricetidae. The transcript is spliced from 4 exons. The record is from RefSeq and is a predicted model, not a curated record.
CUUUGACCAAAGGAUAUCUCUGCCCAGCUAGCCAGUUUCCAGGUCUCAGAACCAUGGAGAAUCCGGCAAGAGUUCUAGAAGCAGAAUGGAAUACAGAUGACCCUCUCCUCCCCGGAAGCAGUGAACGGAAACUAUGGGCUUUGAAAAUAGUCUUUCUGCCUGUCAGAAAGGAGGGAAAACCAAACUCUUCAAUACUGCCAAGGGAAAUCUGGAGAAACUCAUUAAAUAAGAGGAAUAUUAGCCGGGCGGUGGUGGCGCACGCCUUUAAUCCCAGCACUCGGGAGGCAGAGCCAGGUGGAUCGCUGUGAGUUCGAGGCCAGCCUGGGCUACCAAACGCCCGUGGCAGCUACUGCCCUCACUGGACGAAGAUGUCAAGAUGAGCACAACACAGCCCUUAACUGGAAAGAAGAAACCUCACGCCUUGAAGCAGUUGGUUUGGGUUACAAUUGCUCAGUCUUAUUGUUAAUAAUCAAAAAUUUUGAUUUAGUAAAAAAGAGAUGUGUCAGAGAGAUGAUUCGGUUGUUGAGCAUGCAUACUGCUCUUGGAGAGGACCAGAGUUCAGUUCCCAGCACCCAUGUCAUCGACCUAUGGCUUCCUUUAACUACCUCCAGGGCUUCUGACACCUCUCUCCUCCUUGGGCACGUACAUACAUUCACACAGACAUAAACAUAUACACAUAAUUAAAAAUAAAAUAAAAUCUUCUUUAAAAAGGAAAGAUGUUUAUUACAUAAACUGCAUUAUAAUAAUCAGUUAGGCAAUUGACCUCAGUCACAGUAUCUCACUGUAGUUGGGAGGCAGACAUGAAAACCAGUCUUACAGCCCUCCAUGAUAUUGUAGUUGAGUUAUGGGCACAGAGCUAUGGGGAUGAGUGGCUAGGUGUGUCUAAGCAGGAGUUGGGGAGAAGCCUCCUCAGGGGAAUAAGCAUUUCAGUCUACCCUUAAAAGGAUUAUUUAAAUAUUAGUAAAUCAAAACAUAGGAAUGUAUCUUUACGGGUUUUACCCUAAGCCAGUGAUACCCAAAUGUGUCCUCUUAUCUCCCUGCCUCACAGCUGUUCUCACAUGAUCCAUACUCAUCUUUUCCAAGUGCAUGUGUCGUCACUCAUUUCCCAUCUUCUUGGUGAAUCCAGAUCCCUUGGUCAACAUCCAAGGCCUUCCCCACUCCAAGGCCACCCAUAGUCUACUCCUGGUCCCUGCUGUGCCUCCCAGGCAUGGUGUUUGCUGCAGCCAGACAGGACCCCUCCUGCUAUCAUCCCUUAUCACAGCAACACCUGCCUCCAUGACUUUGGCAUCCGUGUUCUCAACCAUGUAUAAGAGCUCUGUGCUUUUUUUUCUUGGCAGUCAAAGAAAGCCUGAAUUAGUAACUGACCCUUAAACCUGGUGAUCAGGGAUGGACCAGACUGUGGGGCCAUAGAGCUCCUAGACCAGUGCCCAGCACGGAACUCGUUCUCAGUGUUUGGGAUGAAUUAAUAAAUAAAAGAAAUAUAUCAAAACUUAACAUGGCCACGGUUCAAGGGUAAUGGAAUGACCUAGAAAGAACCAAGGUACUACCUAUGAAUGGAGAUUAUCUUUUUCUCAGAAUUUUAUACACUCACUCUCUCUGACAUGUUGCUGCCAAAUCUCUCAGAGAUAUUGCCCGUCAUUUGAGACUAGGAGCACAUCACCGUUAACAGUUUUGUUGAUAUAAAUUGGUUUGUUGGAUCUUGAUAAUAAAGGAAAAUAUAAGAUAUUUCGACCACAGCUCUGGAAGCUUAUAUGUAAUUAUACAUAGCAGAAUGUAAUAGUAAGUAGCUCUAGCCUUUAAAGCUCUCUUAAG